Homo sapiens (human) is the source of this 1002-nucleotide long non-coding RNA. Ensembl annotates it as long intergenic non-protein coding RNA, p53 induced transcript. Its record names the gene LINC-PINT. NCBI's taxonomy places the organism in Eukaryota, Metazoa, Chordata, Mammalia, Primates, Hominidae. The record is from Ensembl.
GGGCACAGGCUCGGGAUCCCUCGCAGCGCUAGGGGCCGCAGCCCCGGUCGCCGGGGAGUGCCAUGGCAGGGAGGCGGCAGCCACGUGAGGGGUCUGCGGAAGCGCCGGAGCUGAAAGCUGGGGGCGAAAUUGACAGAAUUAAAAAUUUGACAAGCCCCAUCAGUGGUUCAUUUAAGUGUUUUGGUAUACAGGCAUUUUAUUAAUGCUUUUACGAGUUAGAAGAGUUGGGAUAAUUUGCCAUCUGGAGUUUCUCUGCCUUGCUGAUCUGAGCUCAGACCUGCCAAUUUACCAGAGAUAAUUGAUAACACCCUGUAACAGCUGAAGACAGAGUCUUACCCUGUCACCCAGGCUGGAGUACAAUGGUGCGAUCUCGGCUCACUGCAACCUCUGCCUCCUGGGUUCAAGUGAUUCUUCUGCCUCAGCCUCCUGAGUAGCUGGGACUACAGGAGGAAAAUGGAAGAAACGGAGAUACUUUUAGUGAAGCAGAAUAAACCACUGAACAGGAAAAAUGAGGAAGCUGUGAGUACCAGUGGAAGGAACGAGCCAGGAAGAGGGACUGGAACCAUCUCAGAAGCCAUGCCCCUCAGGCUGGAACUUGCCCUGUCUCCUCGCAGAUGAGCUACCUCUUGUGUUUAAGAAUUAAAGGAAGAUGAGCUAGGAAUCAAGAAAUACGCAGAACUGAUUCCUGUCACUGGCGCCACCCUGCCACUUGCCCAGAGCUGUGGUAUAAAUUUUUUUAAUAGGCUGAAAUAAAAAUAUGAAUAGCAUUUUGGUAUUAAGCAUUAAAUUGAUAAAGGCUAUGAGAUACACCUGCUCUCAACCAUGUUAAUUUUUUAUUAUUGGUAUUAAUAAAUUAUUACUUACUAACAUAUUAACAAGAAUUGCAUUGAGAAACAAAGCAUCCACAGGCCAAAUCUUCUGAAUUUCAAAUGUUUAUAUUAAUGCGUUGUAUUCUAGAAAAGUAGAAUUGUCUUAAGUAGCUUUGUAAUAUAAAGUCAUCUA